This 157-nucleotide ribosomal RNA is filed under the name Dujonia zeylanoides. RNAcentral's name for it is "[Candida] zeylanoides 5.8S ribosomal RNA". It matches the Rfam family "5.8S ribosomal RNA". From Rfam's summary of the family: 5.8S ribosomal RNA (5.8S rRNA) is a component of the large subunit of the eukaryotic ribosome. It is transcribed by RNA polymerase I as part of the 45S precursor that also contains 18S and 28S rRNA. Lineage: Eukaryota; Fungi; Ascomycota; Pichiomycetes; Serinales; Debaryomycetaceae. The record is from RNAcentral.
AACUUUCAACAACGGAUCUCUUGGUUCUCGCAUCGAUGAAGAACGCAGCGAAAUGCGAUAAGUAAUAUGAAUUGCAGAUUUUCGUGAAUCAUCGAAUCUUUGAACGCACAUUGCGCCCUAUGGUAUUCCAUAGGGCAUGCCUGUUUGAGCGUCAUUU